RNAcentral lists this ribosomal RNA (922 nucleotides) under uncultured archaeon. Its description in RNAcentral is "bacterial SSU rRNA". It matches the Rfam family "Archaeal small subunit ribosomal RNA", at positions 1 to 923 of the family's 1478-position model. The record is from RNAcentral.
UUUCCGGUUGAUCCUGCCGGAGGCCAUUGCUAUCGGAGUCCGAUUUAGCCAUGCUAGUCGAGCGAGGUUAGCCCUCGCGGCGAACAGCUCAGUAACACGUGGCCAAGCUACCCUGCAGAGGGGGACAGCGUCGGGAAACUGACGGGAAUCCCCCAUACCGGUCUCACGCUGGAAUGCCGAGACCGACAAACGCUCCGGCGCUGCAGGAUGCGGCUGCGGCCGAUUAGGUAGUCGGUGGGGUAACGGCCCACCGAGCCGAUAAUUGGUACGGGGUGUGAGAGCACGAGCCCGGAGACGGAAUCUGAGACAAGAUUCCGGGCCCUACGGGGCGCAGCAGGCGCGAAACCUUUACACUGCACGAACGUGCGAUAAGGGGACUCCGAGUGCGAGGGCAUACAGUCCUCGCUAUUGUGUACCGUAGGGUGGUACACGACCAAGAGCUGGGCAAGACCGGUGCCAGCCGCCGCGGUAAUACCGGCAGCUCGAGUGAUGGCCGAUUUUAUUGGGCCUAAAGCGUCCGUAGCUGGCCCUGCAAGUCCGUCGGGAAAUCCACUCGCCUAACGAGUGGGCGUCCGGCGGAAACUACAGGGCUUGGGACCGGAAGACUUGAGGGGUACGUCUGGGGUAGGAGUGAAAUCCUGUAAUCCUGGACGGACCGCCGAUAGCGAAAGCACCUCAAGACGACGGAUCCGACAGUGAGGGACGAAAGCCAGGGUCUCCAACCGGAUUAGAUACCCGGGUAGUCCUAGCUGUAAACGAUGUUCGCUAGAUGUGGCACAGGCUACGUGCCUGUGCUGUGUCGUAGGGAAGCCGAGAAGCGAACCGCCUGGGAAGUACGUCCGCAAGGAUGAAACUUAAAGGAAUUGGCGGGGGAGCACUACAACCGGAGGAGCCUGCGGUUUAAUUGGAUUCAACGCCGGGA